Molecule: non-coding RNA, 761 nt
Organism: Scleropages formosus (Asian bonytongue)
Lineage: Eukaryota; Metazoa; Chordata; Actinopteri; Osteoglossiformes; Osteoglossidae
Source: the annotation of a RefSeq genome assembly
AAGGUUGAAAAAAGGCAUUACUUUCAAACUCUUCCCUGUUGUCACAAUCCCAUGUAUUGAUAAACUGCAAAACUGAGAAACCCAAACAUGUUGUUCUAAACGAUGCUGGGAAGUGCAGAGUAAAAACAAAGCAGCAAACUUUUAAAUCACGGAAAUUGACAGGUUUUCGUAAGUGUUUUGCAUGAGGAGGUACUUUGCAUUGACAGCACAUGCUUCAGCACCCCGGUGGUGUUUAUAGUCCUCAGGGUUCGACACGUCGUGACUGACAGCUGUGCUUCGUGGCGACAGAACAAGAAACUACAAUGUCCUUUAUCGCCGUUUUUAUUGGGAUACUUGGAUUUUUCAUUGAUGAAUCCAGAGGUCAAGUCACAGUGACUCAGACUCCUGAGGUCAAAACUGUUCUUCCAGGACAGACGGUCACAAUCAACUGUAAAACCAACCAGGGUGUUUUUGAUAAGUGUGGUUCAUCUAAUUCCAACCCUUGUAUGAACUGGUACCUUCAGAAACCUGGAGAAGCUCCUAAACUCCUCAUUUACUAUGCUGCUACCCGUCAGUCAGGGAUUCCAGAUCGAUUCAGUGGCAGUGGAUCUGGGUCCGACUUCACUCUGACCAUCAGUGGAGUCCAGGCUGAAGAUGCAGGACAUUAUUACUGUCAGAGUUUUCAUUACCCUAAUAAUGUCCGUGUGUUCACACAGUGUUAUAGAGCCGUACAAAAACCCCCCCAGAGACACACAGUACAGUUACCGCACUGCUGCAGCUGA